This 483-nucleotide ribosomal RNA is filed under the name uncultured bacterium. Its description in RNAcentral is "partial 16S ribosomal RNA". It matches the Rfam family "Bacterial small subunit ribosomal RNA", at positions 27 to 507 of the family's 1533-position model. The record is from RNAcentral.
GAUUGAACGCUGGCGGCAUGCCUUACACAUGCAAGUCGAACGGUAACAGGUCUUCGGAUGCUGACGAGUGGCGAACGGGUGAGUAAUACAUCGGAACGUGCCCAGACGUGGGGGAUAACGAGGCGAAAGCUUUGCUAAUACCGCAUACGAUCUAAGGAUGAAAGCAGGGGACCGCAAGGCCUUGUGCGUUUGGAGCGGCCGAUGGCAGAUUAGGUAGUUGGUGGGAUAAAAGCUUACCAAGCCGACGAUCUGUAGCUGGUCUGAGGGGACGACCAGCCACACUGGGACUGAGACACGGCCCAGACUCCUACGGGAGGCAGCAGUGGGGAAUUUUGGACAAUGGGCGAAAGCCUGAUCCAGCAAUGCCGCGUGCAGGAUGAAGGCCUUCGGGUUGUAAACUGCUUUUGUACGGAACGAAAAGGCUCUGGCUAAUACCUGGGGCACAUGACGGUACCGUAAGAAUAAGCACCGGCUAACUACGUG